GACUUUUAUAUAUAUAUAUAUAUAUAUGUAUAUAUAUAUAUAUACACAUAUAUGUAUAUAUAUAUAUACACAUACUUUUGUUUAGAUCAGCACUCAUAUUCUGAAGAAAGUAUCCCACUUUCAUUACUAUCCUGGUUCUGGAAGAAGAAGAGGAAUUUUGCAUCUCCUGCUGCUAAAAGUCAAAGCAGAACAGAUGCAUGGGUACGAACAGUUACCCCUUCAUGCUCUUGUGUUCCUGAUGAUCCAGUAAGAAGUGAACCUCAACCUAAACCACAGAGCACCAUUCACUCAUCUGUUCCUCUCCCGGGCAGUGUUAUGGAUUUUUCAGGGGAGAUACAAGAACAUCCUUCAUGUGUGAUUAAAAGUGUAAUGCUUGAAGAGACACCUGAGCAGGAUGAGGAGGGAAAAUUUUGGCUGCACAAAGUUAGAAUGAGUAUAAACAAGUGGUCACUACUGAAUUCCCUGAUUGGAUGGAGUGAAAACAGACCUCUAGAAAAAGAUUGUAAAAGACAUGCAGGAAAUGAAAAGCAAACACCUGAAGAUAAUCAGACAACUGGAAAAUACAAAGAAGGAAAACCAAAGCAAGGUAAUUAUUCUGGAGCAUUUCAAUUGUUGUGUCACAUCAUUAGUCAAAGUGACACAGGAGGAUUAAAUCUACUUCAUUCACAUUUGAAUAUUCAUUCAGCAACCCAUUGCAUCAUUUCUCCAGAAAUAAUAUCAAUCUGUCAAUGUAGUUUAUUUUACAGCUUUGUGAAAUAUGGUCUUAUUUUCACCUAUGUCUACUUUAUUCUAUUAGUGUAUUUAUUGUACCCUUUCCCAUUCUUAAUAUUUAGACUGGCACAUUUGCAGAGAUUUUCCAAACUUUAUUGUUACUGAAGUUUCCAGUUAAAUGUCACCUUCAUCUGUACCAUCAACCUGUAAUGCCUGUCUUCAUUGCUAAAGUGAAAAGUUUUUCAUCCUUCUUCUCUGUGGAUAUAUUGUCUUUUAUUUUGCACUUUUCUUCCUUUCUUUUUCCAUUUGGAAUGAAUAGGUCCACUCUUUGGUUAGCUUGGUGUAUGACAAUUUUCCUGAAGUUAACUAAGCUAAUGAGCCCAGUAAAGAUAAAUUGAAUGGCAAAAUAAAUAAAUAAAUAAAACAUUAAAAAAGGAAAGA
RNAcentral lists this long non-coding RNA (1152 nucleotides) under Anas platyrhynchos platyrhynchos (common mallard). Its description in RNAcentral is "lncRNA (ENSAPLG00000018708.1)". The record is from RNAcentral. Lineage: Eukaryota; Metazoa; Chordata; Aves; Anseriformes; Anatidae.